RNAcentral lists this long non-coding RNA (1993 nucleotides) under Homo sapiens (human). RNAcentral describes it as "HSALNT0030310". Lineage: Eukaryota; Metazoa; Chordata; Mammalia; Primates; Hominidae. The record is from RNAcentral.
UUCUGAAGCUGCUCAGCAUGUGGCAGAGGAGCAUGCUGUGAAGAGCUCAUUCCAACAGCAGCGUGAUGAGUAACACUAUCAACAUAAAUAAGUAAUAGCAGUGAUUAAGUCUGUAUGGGAAGGUUGAGGGAGGUGGCAUUUGAAUCCACAUUUAAAGGAUGAAUGGAAGUUUGUUGAGAGGACAGGAUGCAGAAGCAUUUUCCAGAGAGAGGGAAUAGCAUGGACAAAGACCUGAAGGCAUGAACAACACAGCGUGUUUGUAGUUUAGUUUAUCUAAAGCAAGGUGCAAGGUAGGAGCCGUGGAAUCAGAGCUAUGGAGGACACUGCAAUCUCUCCCUCAUAAGUGAGCACCUCGGAUUUAACUGUCCAGCAUCAUUUGGAGCACAGGGCGGAGGAUUAUACCGAGGAACCACACCCAUGUCAUUUGAAUUGUCCACAAGACCACUAUAAGGACUUUCCAGGACCAUCACAAGGCUGCAAACCGCAUUUGAAGUGCUGCUUCUGGGGCAUUCUUUCCAAAGAGCCUUUUAGCAGGGCAGGGAGUGAAAGCAUUACCAGGUGCUCUGCUGAAACCGGUAGGAUGAACACCUUCCGAACAGGCUGCAUUCCUCCCGAGGAAACUGAAGAGUGUAACCUCACAGUGAAAUUCCCCCCAAGUCUUUGGCUCUGCAGGAAGCUUCUGGCUAUUUUUCAGGAGAUGCGUUUGCUGCAGGAGGAGUUGGUACCAGUCUUCAGUUCUCAGCCUGUAGGCCCCUGACAUGGGGCACUACUCUGUACAGUUCCAGAAACCAACAACAGCCAUUUAGCAGGAGUGUUGAAACUGCAGAUUGUUCUCCACUGUUCUUCACUGUGGCUGUGUUUGGAACUACCAAAUACUAAUCCUCAGAACUUGGUCUUGGACCUGGUUAUAAAUCUCAUUCCUGCAACUCUGAACAGUGUGAUCUUGGGAGAGUUACUUAAUUUUUCUGAGUCUCAGUUUUUCUUAUCUAUAAAAUGAAGUUAGUAAUAGUAUGGACUUCAUAUAACGUAUGUGAUGAUUAAAUUACAGAGCACAUGUAAUGUGUGUAGCACAAUGCGUGGUACAUAACUAGGCCUCAACAAAUGGCCCAACAAUGUGUUGUUGGUCUAGGGUGGGAGACAGUAAUCUCCCUUUGACUGUCAUUAUCUUUUGACUGGGAAGAUUGGGUAGGCAACAAUGUUGCCUGUUUGCUGUACUUAGCUCUACUUUACUUUUUAUUUUUUUAUUUUUUUGAGACAGAGUCUCACUCUGUCACCCAGACUGGAGUGCAAUGGCACAAUCUUGGCUCACCACACCCUCCAUCUCCCAGAUUCAAGCAAUUCUCCUGCUUCAGCCUCUCAAGUUGCUGGGAUUACAGGCAUGUGCCACCAUGCCCAGCUAAUUUUUUGUAUUUUUAGUAGAGACAGCGUUUCACCAUGUUAGCCAAGCUGGUCUCAAACUCCUGACUUCAGGUGAUCCACCCACCUCAGCCUCCCAAAGUGCUGGGAUUACAGCUGUGAGCCACCGCACCCAGCCGUCUACUUCAUUCUUGCUUGGUUGUUUGCUUCCUGCUCUCACCAAAUUGUAAAGCUCACUGAGGACAUGAACUAAGAUUCUGUGGCCAACAGGGUCUUUCUAUAUAGUAGAUAGUCAAUAAAUAUUUGUAGAUGGAUGCAUGGAUAUUUUUUCAACUGACUAUUUGAAUAUGACUUCUGAUACAUAUGAGUAUCAGUACCCAGGGAAUACAUGAUCCAAGGCUGGGGAGACAUGGGCUUAAUAUUUACUAACAUUUUCCCUUACCUGCCACCUGCUUCUCUUGAGACAUUAAAUCCAAAGGCUAUAAAUCCUGCUGCUUUGCAUGGCUGGGUUAGAUUGCAUAUGAGAAUUUUGCAAAGCAAAAAAGAUACAUCACACCAACUGGCCUCUCAAUGUAUGCUCCCCUCAAAAGGCUUUCAAGCCAAAAAUCCCUAAGCAGUAAUUAUGUGCAAGGCAAAG